GCUCAGUAACACGUGGCUAACCUGCCCUUGGGACGGAAAUAUCCCCGGGAAACUGGGGUCAAUUUCCGAUAGGCGAAGAACUCUGGAACGAGUCUUCACCCAAAAGACGUUUAGGGCAUGCUCCUAGACGUUGCCCAAGGAUGGGGCCGCGGCCGAUCAGGUUGUUGGUGAGGUAACGGCUCACCAAGCCUAUUACCGGUACGGGCCGUGGGAGCGGUAGCCCGGAGAUGGGCACUGAGACAAGGGCCCAGGCCCUACGGGGCGCAGCAGUCGCGAAAACUUCGCAAUAAGCGAAAGCUUGACGGGGCUAUCCCGAGUGCCAUCUGCUGAAGAUGGCUUUUACCUAGUAUAGAUAGCUAGGGGAAUAAGGAGAGGGCAAGUCUGGUGUCAGCCGCCGCGGUAAUACCAGCUCUCCGAGUUGUGGGGAUAUUUAUUGGGCCUAAAGCAUCCGUAGCCGGCUGAACAAGUCCCCUGUUAAACCCAGCGACUAAUCGUUGGUCUGCGGGGGAUACUGUUCGGCUAGGGGGCGGGAGAGGCCGUCGGUAUUCCUGGGGUAGGGGUGAAAUCCUAUAAUCCCAGGAGGACCACCAGUGGCGAAGGCUGUCGGCUAGAACGCGCCCGACGGUGAGGGAUGAAAGCUGGGGGAGCGAACCGGAUUAGAUACCCGGGUAGUCCCAGCUGUAAACGAUGCAGGCUAGGUGUUAGGGCGGCUACGUGCCGCUCUAGUGCCGCAGGGAAGCUGUUAAGCCUGCCGCCUGGGGAGUACGGCCGCAAGGCUGAAACUUAAAGGAAUUGGCGGGGGAGCAC
This 807-nucleotide ribosomal RNA is filed under the name uncultured archaeon. RNAcentral's name for it is "bacterial SSU rRNA". It matches the Rfam family "Archaeal small subunit ribosomal RNA", at positions 88 to 879 of the family's 1478-position model. The record is from RNAcentral.